GAUGAAGAACGCAGCGAAAUGCGAUACGUAAUGUGAAUUGCAAAUUCAGUGAAUCAUCGAGUCUUUGAACGCACAUUGCGCCCCCUGGUAUUCCGGGGGGCAUGCCUGUCCGAGCGUCAUUGCUGCCCUCAAGCACGGCUUGUGUGUUGGGCCCCGUCCUCCGAUCCCGGGGGACGGGCCCGAAAGGCAGCGGCGGCACCGCGUCCGGUCCUCGAGCGUAUGGGGCUUUGUCACCCGCUCUGUAGGCCCGGCCGGCGCUUGCCGAUCAACCCAAAUUUUUAUCCAGGUUGACCUCGGAUCAGGUAGGGAUACCCGCUGAACUUAAGCAUAUCAAUAGCGGAGGA
RNAcentral lists this unclassified non-coding RNA (344 nucleotides) under soil metagenome. RNAcentral describes it as "partial contains 5.8S ribosomal RNA, internal transcribed spacer 2, and large subunit ribosomal RNA". The stretch from base 1 to 119 matches the Rfam family "5.8S ribosomal RNA", at positions 35 to 154 of the family's 154-position model. The record is from RNAcentral.